GAUGAACGCUGGCGGCGUGCCUAAUACAUGCAAGUCGAGCGAACAGACGAGGAGCUUGCUCCUCUGACGUUAGCGGCGGACGGGUGAGUAACACGUGGAUAACCUACCUAUAAGACUGGGAUAACUUCGGGAAACCGGCGCUAAUACCGGAUAAUAUAUUGAACUGCAUGGUUCAAUAGUGUAAGACGGUUUUGCUGUCACUUAUAGAUGGAUCCGCGCCGCAUUAGCUAGUUGGUAAGGUAACGGCUUACCAAGGCAACGAUGCGUAGCCGACCUGAGAGGGUGAUCGGCCACCCUGGAACUGAGACACAGUCCAGACUCCUACGGGAGGCAGCAGUAGGGAAUCUUCCGCAAUGGGCGAAAGCCUGACGGAGCAACGCCGCGUGAGUGAUGAAGGUCUUAGGAUCGUAAAACUCUGUUAGUAGGGAAGAACAAAUAUGUUAGUAACUAUGCACGUCUUGACGGUACCUAAUCAGAAAGCCACGGCUAACUACGUG
Molecule: ribosomal RNA, 497 nt
Filed under: uncultured bacterium
Lineage: Bacteria
Description: partial 16S ribosomal RNA
Rfam family: Bacterial small subunit ribosomal RNA
Source: RNAcentral